GCUUACGGCCACACCGGCCUGAGUACGCCUGAUCUCGUCCGAUCUCGGAAGCUAUGCAGGGUCGGGCCUGGUUAGUACUUGGAUGGGAGACCGCCUGGGAAUACCAGGUGCUGUAAGCU
RNAcentral lists this ribosomal RNA (119 nucleotides) under Oncorhynchus mykiss (rainbow trout). Lineage: Eukaryota; Metazoa; Chordata; Actinopteri; Salmoniformes; Salmonidae. The record is from RNAcentral.